Sus scrofa (pig) is the source of this 218-nucleotide non-coding RNA. NCBI's taxonomy places the organism in Eukaryota, Metazoa, Chordata, Mammalia, Artiodactyla, Suidae. The record is from RefSeq and is a predicted model, not a curated record.
AAGACUUUACUUUAGUCAGAGAAAUAUUUUACUCCAAUAAAAUCACAUUAUUAAAAAAAGUCACGUUAUUUCUCUUAUCAAGUUAUAAACGAUGAACACAUUACUAGAAUUUAAAAUGAGGUUUUAUGGAGUUCCCGCUGUGGUGUAAUGGGUUAAAGGGUCCUUUGUUGCCAGCACAGGUCACAGGUGUGCCUCAGGUGUGGCCAUAAAAAAAAAAA